UUUUCUUUUAGACACAUCCCAACCCAAAGUAUAAGCGCCCACCUAGUCCUAUCUAGUCCGGAAAAUGCAAACUAGAACUACAUGAGACACUAUCUCUAUCGUUACGAACCUAACACUUUCUACAAAGCUUAAUUGGAAUAAGACCUCACAGACACUCACAAGUGAUAUAGGGCUCGAAAGAAAGUCUAGGUUUGGGCUCGGGUUAACUGCUCUAAUAAGGAGAGUCAGCUACUUGGAUUAACAAGAGUGAUCAAGAUGAAUAAGAAAAUCCAAGUAUUUUAGGGUAUCCAUGAGUUCAAAUUUGAUGCAAACAUAAUAAUUAAAGAUCAGAUUCAAGUUCAAAUUGAUAGGGAAUGGUCUCAAAUCAUGACAGUGUGGUCGAGUAGAGCAAUCUAGGCAUGAUUCAGUUUUACUUCAAUUUCAUUGACUACGCAACAGACAACUAGCAACGAGGGCACUGAGUUUAUCCGGUGAACCAAAAUGCUUACAAGGCUAUCUCAUCAUUAUCCACUAUGCAUAUGCAACAAUCCUAAAUGAAACACUCUAUCUCGAUCCUAAAUGUACUGCAGAAGGUGCUGCUCUUGCUGCUAGAUCGAGUGAGUGUGGUCCUCCUCUUUCUCCCAGAUUCACGAGGCUCGAAUGAUGAAUGCCUCAUAGGGACAUGCGGAAUCUCCUGUUCACUAGGCUCAGGCCUGCGCCGACUUCGCUCAGGCGCGUCAUAUCUCCUCGAGGGCAUGUCACGAGGGAUCUGUCCCUGCGGAAUAGCUGUAGUGGAAGAGGAGCAGCUUAGCUUAUCCUUCAGAAACUUGAUAGCUCUGAGGCACUUGGCGAGUAACUUAUCAUGUUUCUUGCACCACUUCUGCAGCUUGCUGUUUUUCCUAUGAGCUUCGCUCAAACUCUUGCUCUCCCUUGCUGGAGGUACAUGCUCACUGAAAUGAUACAUGCUCGUGUCAAACUCCGCCUCAUCUAUUUCAUCUGUCUUAUCAACAUCUUCUGUCGUAUCUCCUUCGGUGUGACUGAUCUCCUCAGUUGGCAGACUGCCCUCGAAAUAAAGAUCUUCAAGCGCAGGCUUGAAGUCAAUGUUCCUUUCCUCGAGAACCCUAGUAGCGUCAAUGUAGGGGAGAAGAAUGUUGGCGAUUCUGAUCGAUGAAUGCUCGAACCUGUAGCGAUGGAAGUCACCAACCAUGUCAUGCUCCAAGAACUCACAUCGGCCCAAAUGAUCCAAAUCCAUCAUUCUUGGUGCUAGCCCUGGUUCCUUGAGAGGUACUCCACAAGCUUCCACAAUUGGCGUCACAACGCCACCUACGCAUAGUGCUCCUGUUACUUUCUUCUUGCCGUUUAUCAACGCCCACUUCCUGUAUCCACACAGGUGGAUCAAUAGAGGCAUUACUGGUGGUGCGUCGUUGAGAUCGCCUCUCAAGACAUUCUUUCCCUUUGUACGGCGGAGAAUCCCUGUAAGUGCGGAAUCUAUCAUUUCCAUGUCCGUGUUAGACACGGUGCCUGCAGACUCCCUAGAAUAAAAAACAUUGGGAACCGAGCGCUGAAAGUAGCGAAUCACAGGACUCUAGAUUUGGUUGCUCUUGGACCGCGCAGAGUUUAGCGGUACAUUGUUCCCAAUAGUAGCCCACAAAUCCUUAAGCUCUUCCCUGUCAAACUUGGGGUUGGUUCCCUUUUCACUAGGGAAACCAAACAGUUCUUCCCACUUCUUGAUCGACAGCUCAUAACGCUGUUCAUCCACUGAGAACGUCAAGAACCCUAAUCCCAUGGUAUCCAGCUUAAAGUCUGUGAGACCCUGAUACAUCUCUACUUGCAGUGUGGAAAGAAACUCGAUUGUCUCCUCCUUAUAGGCAGCGUAAGGGUAAGACAUGAGUGUCUCCAGAUGACACUUCUCGAACACAUGUUGCACAUCCUCCAGUAACCCCAGCUGGGCUAAAGUCUCAUAACAGGGAUACCUCGUUCCCCAGAAAUCAUUAUGUUCGAAGAAUCUGAUAUACUCCUCCAUUGUAACCUCGUCAGGUUUGUUCAGCAGCAUUGUCUCCUUGCGCCAUGACUCUGGCUCAUACUCAGUUUUGAUGUCCUCAUCAAUUAACUCAUAUCUACUCGAAAUCGCUCUCUUCCCUCUAGCGAUUUCAGCUCUUCCUUGACUACGUUGAGCUGUGGAGCGUUCUAUUUCUCCUCUAAAGCUCUCGUAAACGUGUUCUUCUCUCUCGGGUCUAGUGGACCAAGACUAGGCUUCAUCUACAUUAUAAUUAGGAUCCAUAGAGGAUUCUCCACUAUAGUUACUCAUGAUGAAACCUGAAAACAGAUGAAACUCAAAGAUAAACGUUAAUACGUUAGUUCCAGCAAAAACAAAAACACAAUCCAACAGUGUAUACCGCUCGAGUAAACCGGUCGGUUUUGAAUAUUUUUUUUUUUUGGAUUGUGAGUUGUUGGUCGAGUCUCUCCUUGGUGAACUUGAAGUGGAACGAUCGAGUGAACUUGAGCGACAAGACUUCUUGCGGUCAAGUGUGGCGAAUCGAGUGAGCUAAAAACCGGUUAGUGAGGAGAGAUUUGAUGGGGUCGAGUGAACUCUUUGGUGGAGUGAUGUGACGUGACCGAGUGAUUCUGCAAACAAACCGAAAUGAGCAAGGAUGAAACCUUCAAGUACUCGAUCGCGUGGCAAAUGUGAGUAGAGUUGUAGACGGUUCACUAGAUUGUUUGGUGAGCUACUUCUUACACGCGAUCGAGUAAGAUGAGAGAUGGUGAAGUGAGUUCAAGGUGAUCUUGCACUGAAUUGAGUGAUUGAUAAACAAGAACCGGUGUGGAGAUGUUGAAGAAGUCGAGUGAUUGAUUCGGUGGUAGAGCUUCAUUCUUCUUCUCUUUGAUUUGGCAAUCGAGUGAGCUUGAAAACUCGUGAUGGUGAAACGAGACUUACGGUGGUCGAGUAAAGGAGGUGAUGAAGAUGGUGAUGAGAGAUCGAGUGAUUGUGAGAGGCAAGAGAGGCGCGAUCAAGUGUGGUUGCUGAAUCGAGUGAAAUUGUGAUGAAUGAGAGGUGGUGAUGAGCUUUCGUGGAGAUGGGAGCAGCGGCUUUGGAAGCGAUGGAGAGAUGAGAUGGUGGUACUCGGCUUCAUGGUAGAGUGAUCGAGUGAAGGGGAUGAAGGUACUCGACCAUGUGGUUGAGUAGUGUGAUCGAGUGAAGGUGAUUUGGUGGACGUGAUGAUACUCGACCAGGAGGUCGAGUGAUGUGAUCAAAUGAUUGUCUUGGCGGUACUCGACCAGGGGGUCGAGUGGUGUUGUGAAGUGAUGAGGCCAUCUACUCGACCAGGGGGUCGAGUGGUUUGUUGAAGUCGUGGAAUCAUCUACUCGACCAGGGGGUCGAGUGUUUUGCAGUGAUCAGGUCCCCUUCUUCAAAUUAGCUCGCCAACAGCUCCAAAUCACUUGAAAACAACACAAAUAUGCAACAUGCAUGUAAAACUAUCAUAAACAUGCAAAGUGAUGACAAAUGAUGACAAAUGAUAUAAAAAAGUGAUGAUAUGAUGCUAAAGUGAUGAUAAAUGUAUGCUCAAAACAGGCAAAAUGCCCACUUAUCAUUGGGAGUUUGAGAAAUGAUACUGGCAACGUUGAAGACGUUAAUGGUUACACCCUUCUGUUCAAGAUCAUGGAUCGCUAGAGAGUAAAUUAUUUUUAUAUUGUUUAUAUAAAAUAGUCUGCAUAAAUUUGUAUACAAGAUUUUGAUCAUACUUAUUGCUAUAGCAAAGAAGUAUUGUCGUGUGAGGCUUUUGGGCAGACAGCUACUGACUUUGAAAAAAAAAAUCGAUUGUAUGGAAAGCCAAAUAUGAUUGUUGCACUAGGGUGGUGGAAGGUUUUGAAGUCAAAUUGGAGGGCAAAUGGAGUGAAGAUUGUGAGCCAUGGAUCUAUAUCAAAAGUGUUUUCUAAUGCAGAGAUUCGUGAAGUUGAAGUUGGUUAUAGAUUGAUGGUUGAUUCAGGAAUUGUUUUUUUUAAAUAUUUUAUGUAAUAAUUUUUGGUUAAUUCAUGAUUUUUUUUUUUUUUAUGUAAUAAUUUCUCGUUUAAUGUUUAGCUUGAGAUUUUAAUAACUUAUAUUAUAUUCUUAUUUUUAUUUUGAUUAUCACAAAAAUUUAGUUUAUUUUAAAUAUUUUUAAUUUUAUAUUCUUAAUGUUUUGAUUACCAAUUCGUUAUAUCAAUCUACAUUCAAGAUAUUAAUAUCCGUAUAAAUCAUAAACUUAUAUAUACAUUAAAAAAUCAUAUAAUACAUAUACCUAAAUUGGUAAGAUAAUAAUCAUUUCUCAAAAUUAUAAGUUAUUAAAUAAAAUGUCCAUCACAACACAUUCACAUUAAGAACAUAUAUAAACCUAUUAAAUUCAAUAGUUUUCCUAAAUAGUAUAGACUAUAUUGUAAAAUCCGUAUGCACAACACACUAUUGGGAAACCCUAAGCUAAAAUAUCUCAUCACUAAACUCUAAAUCAUAAACCUUAUAUCCUAAUAACUAUACUCAAAACCCUAAACACUAAACCCUAAAACCCAAAUCCUAAACCCUAUUCUUAAUAUGUUGUUAGAUAUUUGUGAAUGACAUAUUUUAAUUAAAUUCGUUAUAACAAAAACAAUUUCAUGAUAUUUAUGUCCGUAUUAAUCAUAAAAUUAUAUCUAAAUUAUAAAAUAAAGAAUAUAGUAAUCAGUCAUCUAAAUCAUAAGUUAUUAAAUAAACUAUCCAUCACAACAUAACCACAUUAAGACAAUACAUAAUUAUCUCUUUAAUUCACUAGUGUUUCUAAAUAGUAAAGGCUAUAUUGUCAAAUUCAUAUAAACAUAGCCCUAAACCUAGACUCUAAGCCAUAUACCAUACACACUAUGCACUAAACCCUAAUGGUAAACCCUAAACACUAAACCCUAAACCCUAAAGCUAAAACCAUAACCCAAAACCCUAUAACAUUACCUUAAACAUAAUCCUAAACCUAGACUCUAAGCCAUAUAUCAUAAACACUAUACCCUAAACAUUAUGCACUUAACCCUAACAGUAAACCCUAAACCCUAAACCUUAACCCCAAAACCCUAUAACAUUACCCUAAAACCUAAACCUAAUCUCUAAACCCUAAACCACUAAUGUCCUAAACUAUAAACUCUAACGCUAAACACUAAAAUCCAGACAAUAAUAAUUAUACCCUAAACACCAAGACCUAAACCCUAAACCCAAAACCCAAAACCCUAAACCCUAAAAUAUAAUUCCUAAACAGUAUUUCCCUAAACCCUAAACCCAAAUAAAUAAAUAAACUAUUAAUACCUAUCACUUAACCAAUUACACAUAAUUAGCAACCCUAUAUCCUAAAACUUUAACCUAAACAAUUAACCUUAACACACAGCAUUAGCUUUAUGUUAUCCAUCAUAACAAAACCACGUGGUUUGAGAACCCAAAAAAUACCUAUAGGGCAUAUAUUGUUGAACUAUAAAUAUCAACGUGGUCAUAUAUUUUGGCGGGAUAUUUCCCCCCAAAAAUUUUAAAAUCAAAUUAUAAAUAAGUAAAGGUGCGAUUAGGGAUCAUAUGCUCCAAAUACCUUAAAGAUCUAUACUAUGGUCCCCAAAAUAGUUUGUGAGAAAGGCACUUCAUGCAUCGUUCUGUUUCAACCAAUAAUCCCAAUCGUUACAUCUGUAGUAGAAGACAACAAACUCCUCGACGGAUGGCCGAACAAACUUGUAGUCAAAAUCUGGAAUCAAUCGUCGGGUUUAAAAAAAAGGUAAGAGUUGAGGCAAUCUUUAUAAAAGAGUAAAACAU
RNAcentral lists this small RNA (5764 nucleotides) under Arabidopsis thaliana (thale cress). Its description in RNAcentral is "ATSL167990". Lineage: Eukaryota; Viridiplantae; Streptophyta; Magnoliopsida; Brassicales; Brassicaceae. The record is from RNAcentral.